GGAAGCGGCACGUGGGGCGGCGCUCUACGGUGGCCGAGGGACAGCGGCUGCUCUCUGAGCUCUAAAUCCAGAAGCGCCCGGGAAGCUGCAGCCACAGUGGUUUCUGUAGUCGGAGGCCUGAGAAGGGCGCCCAGCUGCCAGCAUCAUGGUUGAAGGAGCGGUUCUGGGAGACGGAUGUAGCUAAGAAAAUGGAAGACGCGGCCAUUGGCAGAGGCUGAGGUCCCGGCCCCAGAGGGUUCCAGGAGAACUUGAAUACCUUAGUUGUUCUGAAUUUGUUGAAGCACAUCCCAGAAGCUGGAAAGCCCUCUGAUUGAUUCUCACCCGACUUUUGGGUGAGAUCCUAAAUGAUGCUAUUAAAAAGCACCGGAUCUCAGGAGCCAAGACGCAGAUGAUCAUGGAAGACUGGGAUUUCCUGCAGCUGCAGUGUGCCCUCUACAUCAACAGUGAGCUCUCUGACAUCCCCCUCAACAUGGCCCCCAAGAAGUGGACUUGAGGCUUUGUCCAGUGCCUGAAGGGGAAGCAGGGCAGUGUUUCCAUGUCAGAGCGAACCUGCUCUCAGUAAGAACGAGCUCAUCUUGACCACUGAGGCCAUCAUGAAGAAGAACGAGUUCCUCUGCUGCCAAGACAGCUUCCUGCAGG
Peromyscus maniculatus bairdii (prairie deer mouse) is the source of this 639-nucleotide non-coding RNA. The record is from RefSeq and is a predicted model, not a curated record. NCBI's taxonomy places the organism in Eukaryota, Metazoa, Chordata, Mammalia, Rodentia, Cricetidae.